CGUGGGGGGGAGGGCCCUACACAUGCAAGUCGAGCGGUAACAGGGGUAGCUUGCUACCCGCUGACGAGCGGCGGACGGGUGAGUAAUGCAUAGGAAUCUGCCCGAUAGUGGGGGAUAACCUGGGGAAACCCAGGCUAAUACCGCAUACGUCCUACGGGAGAAAGGGGGCUCCGGCUCCCGCUAUUGGAUGAGCCUAUGUCGGAUUAGCUAGUUGGUGAGGUAAAGGCUCACCAAGGCGACGAUCCGUAACUGGUCUGAGAGGAUGAUCAGCCACAUCGGGACUGAGACACGGCCCUAACUCCUACGGGAGGCAACGGUGGGGA
Molecule: ribosomal RNA, 323 nt
Filed under: Halomonas sp. alk9
Lineage: Bacteria; Pseudomonadati; Pseudomonadota; Gammaproteobacteria; Oceanospirillales; Halomonadaceae
Description: bacterial SSU rRNA
Rfam family: Bacterial small subunit ribosomal RNA
Source: RNAcentral